Patella vulgata (common limpet) is the source of this 1900-nucleotide long non-coding RNA. RefSeq lists it as uncharacterized. The record is from RefSeq and is a predicted model, not a curated record. NCBI's taxonomy places the organism in Eukaryota, Metazoa, Mollusca, Gastropoda, Patellidae. The transcript has 3 exons.
AGCUAUUUAUAGUGUGACGGAAGUGGGAUAUCGAAAAUGGGUUUUUCCACAAACCAGUUACAUGAAAGUGACUUUUUUAAUGACAACAAAACGACGUAUUUAAUAUCAACGGGGGAUAUUUAAUAUACCAACUUUAUUGGUUUCUACUAAAUCAAGCAUGGACAUUUUCAAGAUACACUGAUUAUUGCAUUCUGUUGAUAAGAAGUACUGCCAGACAGCCACAUCCGCGAAUCGUAUUGGACCAUAAAGACCACUUACCAACACAGAAAUAGCAUAUCGCGUUAAUUAGGAACUAAUAUGCAUAAAUAUAAAUUCAAUGACGUCACAAACGUUCAAUACACGUUAUCUCACAUGUAGCUACAUUAAGACAUCAACUGCGCUUUUGUUUCAAGUCCACCCCAACAGAAUUUUGUUUUUGUGUAAUUGCGCCUAUUUGUGUAAUUGCGCCUAUUUGCAGCAAAUGGUGUGUAGUCAAGUUCAUCAGGUCUGUCAUUGAGUGUGUUUGUAGGGCCGCCUGACUAACCUUGCCAGGGUUUUCCGUUUUACGCCUACAUCUUAAGAGGCGAUGCGUGCACAUCGUGUGAAGUUAAGACCAUUAGGUUUUUCAUUGAGUGUGUUGGUUUCGAUACCAGACUUAUACGUGACCAUUGGUAGGAUCGCCUGCCUAUCUAAAGAGCCGAUGCGUCAAGCGAAUUAUUGAGAUAAAGUUAUACACUGUAUUAAUCCCAAAAUAAAUUAGUAAGUGGUGAGAGGACCCCACCCCCUGCACACAACAAAAUGGCCGAAUGUACCAAUGAAAACGCCGAGGAAGAGUGUAGUAUUUGUUUAUCCGGUUUUAAACAGCCUAAGUCAAUUGACUGUCAACAUAAAUUCUGUUUUAAAUGCCUGGAGGACCACGUUACAAAAUCGGCAAAGAAGAAUUUAUUUGAUUGUCCACUGUGUAGACGAAGAACCAAAGUUCCGGACGGGGGUGUUAAGGAAUUUAAAUCGACUAAAACAGACACGAAUGAUAAUUGUACACGGGCUGAACAGAACAGUAGUGGGGCUUCGAAUAAAACGGUUCCUGUCCGCUCGGUUAAGGCCCUACAGGUAAUGGGAAACAUUCCCAGGCCCAUUAGCAGCGACAUCUCUAAUAUUAGUCAAGGUGCAACAUCAUUAAUUAAUAUUGCCAAUUCUCCAGUGAAUACAAUCAACAAUAAAGAUGGACCAAUUGUUAAAGCUAUUUUUAAUUUAAAUGAUAUUUUUAUGAAUGAGAGGUGUGAAGGCCCACGAAUCAACGUUAACGGAUUCCAGUGGUACAUCGAAGUGGAACAACGCAGUGUUAAAGACAACCCAGUUAUAUAUAUCCAGUUGUUUUUAGAAAAUGCUUUAAAACCACCGUAUAAGUCCACCAAAGGGUCGUGUUCUUACAUCUUUAAACUAGAUAACCGUCUGGAUGAUCGUAAUUCAAUCGUCAAACAACGUGAACUGAAAUUUCCAAUCUUACAAAUCAGCAGAAUUCGUGGAGAGAAGGUGGAGUGGAACUUGUUAAAAGAUCCUCACAACGGAUUCCUGGACAGCGAACAUAACUUCACUAUACAAUAUAAGAUUAUAAUUAUAGAUAUAUAGGACACGGUUUAUAGGAAGGGAUGGGGGCCCAGUGGUGUAACGCAUACGCUUUAGAUAAUAAGGUCGCCUUCCCAAACCCUCCGGGUUCUCCACCCCCCCCCCCCAAAAUUCUGAAGACACCUACAUGCACGCGAAUAACUGAAUAUACAUAUAAUUAUACCAUAUGGCAGUCUCGAAAUUACCUGGUUUGACGUUACCCCCCCCCCCCCCCCUUCUCUCUUUGUCACCUAGAAGUGGAUCGCAACGCAUAUAAUAAUGUAAUAUGAAUGUAUAUUAAAUGAUUUAUAUUCAA